RNAcentral lists this long non-coding RNA (226 nucleotides) under Lathyrus oleraceus (garden pea). RNAcentral describes it as "Pisum sativum (pea) long non-coding RNA (PSAT_LNC005372)". Lineage: Eukaryota; Viridiplantae; Streptophyta; Magnoliopsida; Fabales; Fabaceae. The record is from RNAcentral.
GAAAAAUUAGAAGUAUUGAGAGACUCGACAAUAUCUUUGGUUGGAUGCGAAUGAAGACUGAUAAGGAUGCUAGGGAAAUGAUGUUCGGUCGAGAUGAAAUCAAUUUGAUUGUUGUAAUCAGUUAGAAAUAUUUCUGUUUUCAGUUAGCUUAUUUUGUACUGAUGUUUGUUGUGAACCUCAUUGUAACAAAAACUUAAUGAUAUAUAAUGAUUGAAGGUUAUAGAAA